RNAcentral lists this ribosomal RNA (421 nucleotides) under Salmonella enterica. Its description in RNAcentral is "partial 23S ribosomal RNA". It matches the Rfam family "Bacterial large subunit ribosomal RNA", at positions 772 to 1191 of the family's 2925-position model. RNAcentral also lists the same sequence under 1 other name. The record is from RNAcentral. Lineage: Bacteria; Pseudomonadati; Pseudomonadota; Gammaproteobacteria; Enterobacterales; Enterobacteriaceae.
GACCGAACCGACUAAUGUUGAAAAAUUAGCGGAUGACCUGUGGCUGGGGGUGAAAGGCCAAUCAAACCGGGAGAUAGCUGGUUCUCCCCGAAAGCUAUUUAGGUAGCGCCUCGUGAAUUCAUCUCCGGGGGUAGAGCACUGUUUCGGCUAGGGGGCCAUCCCGGCUUACCAACCCGAUGCAAACUGCGAAUACCGGAGAAUGUUAUCACGGGAGACACACGGCGGGUGCUAACGUCCGUCGUGAAGAGGGAAACAACCCAGACCGCCAGCUAAGGUCCCAAAGUCAUGGUUAAGUGGGAAACGAUGUGGGAAGGCCCAGACAGCCAGGAUGUUGGCUUAGAAGCAGCCAUCAUUUAAAGAAAGCGUAAUAGCUCACUGGUCGAGUCGGCCUGCGCGGAAGAUGUAACGGGGCUAAACCAUG